This is a long non-coding RNA of Rattus rattus (black rat), 273 nucleotides long. RefSeq lists it as uncharacterized. Lineage: Eukaryota; Metazoa; Chordata; Mammalia; Rodentia; Muridae. The transcript has 3 exons. The record is from RefSeq and is a predicted model, not a curated record.
GUCUGGGCCAGGGCUCAGGGUAGAGCUUGGGCUCUUUCUUUAUUGUCCAAAGUUUGCAGGUACAGUCCAUCAUGGCGGAUGCAGGAGAAUGAGGCAGAGGGUCGCAUUGUAUUCACCCUCAGGAAGCAGAAAGGUGAAUGCUGGUGCUCAGCUCUGUUUCUCCUAUUUGUUCAGUUCAAGACUCGAGUCCCCAUGCUACCCUCCUUCGGGAACUCCUGGUCAUGGACUAAAUGAUAGAGAACUCAGUACCCAAAGUGGCUGCUGAUUUCAUGA